Acanthosepion pharaonis is the source of this 113-nucleotide non-coding RNA. NCBI's taxonomy places the organism in Eukaryota, Metazoa, Mollusca, Cephalopoda, Sepiida, Sepiidae. The record is from the annotation of a GenBank genome assembly.
AUACGGCUAUAUCAGGUUGAAACAACGGUUCUCGUCCGAUCUCCGAAGUUAAGCAACGUCAAUCUUGGUCAAUAUCUAGAUGGGUCACCGCUUGGGAAUACCGGGUGCUGUUA